Molecule: long non-coding RNA, 2392 nt
Organism: Aedes albopictus (Asian tiger mosquito)
Lineage: Eukaryota; Metazoa; Arthropoda; Insecta; Diptera; Culicidae
Exons: 2
Source: RefSeq, a predicted model, not a curated record
CGCAUCACUACUCGGACGAACUCGAAUUAGUUUCAGGUACCGAGAAUGUUAGGCAUUCGUUGACCCUAUCGCUCAUGGGAUCGGUUAGAGCCGACGCCACGCACCUGGUGAUGAUGGUGAGAAUUCGACGUCUUCCUCGUUGUUUCUGGGCGCUCUCGCCGGAUCGAAACCACAACACUUUACUCUUUGUUGAUCCAACGAUGAUGGGCGGUGGGUGGGGCGUGAUCGUGACUGUUUCGCUACUGAUGAUCACCCGGGACGUGAGUCGGGGCAAAUCUCUCUGGCGGCGGUAGUCUUUCCCCAGACAGACCACUCGCGACUUCUGCAUCCACGUGUUGACGGUGGGGGAUGCUCUCGAGGCCGAAGGUCUCUAUCGAUGUCCACGCUCUCCAGAAAUAUCCUUUGCAGCACGAGGCCACGAGACAAAGAAUAUCCCCGGAGGAUUGCCCAAAAGUCCGAUCACUAGCACCAAUAGUUGGUUCACAGUGCAACAACGGGAUUCACUUGAUGCUUCCACUCCACUCUCUUCGUAAAGCCACCACUUUUCCCACCAACAGGAGGCCAACGAUCCACGCAAUCACUGCUGGUGACUAUAGAAAGAACAGGUUAGCACCCCAUCACACAAUCUCCUUAGAUCUCAAAAAUUACCUCGCGUAUUCAGGUUUUCUUAAAGUUUCAAUAAUUUUGCUACACUCGACUCACGUUUACUGGCCUAAUUGCAAAUUUUCAUUAGAAACACUUUUCGUAUGAGCUUAUAAUCACAUGCUUACUUUUCACAAUUUCCAGACUAACUUGACUCACGAUUUUUGUAUAUAGAAAUUGAUUUUUGAAAACACUGUAAAAGCUUUGAAAAAUAGAUUAGUUAAUUAUUUGUUCACUACAGUUUAAUUUUAGGUAUACUUUUCUUUAAAUGAGCAUGAGCAUGAGCAUUGGUGACCGUACACUUCGUAGUUGCUACUCCGUGAUUGACUAGAGCUAGCUGAAUUGCACAGAGAACUAAUAGAUGCGGCUUGGGAUUAGCACACCUGUUUCAAUGUGCACGUUCCGAGAACUCGAGUUUUAAUAUGUCAAUAACGGCGCCGGCCACGUCUUACGGUCAACCGGAGAAGGGAUGGAAUGUUAGUUGGACAACCGUUGCUACUAGAGGUUGUAUAUACUACUGUGCCCUCCACAGUUGUCACGGGAAGGAGUUUUUGUUAGUUGGGAGGGAUUGGUAGUUACAUAAAUCAGGAUUCACUUUGAUAAGCGUUGCAAUCUUGAGCAUACACAAAACAUAUAUUCACAGCAUUGUGCCACCUCACAGUUUGGAGGAAUGGUGAAACCUUGAAAAUUCCUAAUAGGAAUUUAGAGAACGCCUUAUGGAACGAACGAUAUCUUGCGUCACCUCGCAAUUAAGAGGACUGGUGAACCAAUAUAAAAUGUUACUUGCUUUGGAUACUAUGCUGCCGUAAUUCUGCAAAAUGACGUAAGCGCCAUUUAAAAUGUCGAUAUUUUUUGGUACAUUAUAUACAAUAUCUGGUGUAAAAAUAACACUGUGGUAUGCCUGCUGUAUUAGAAUACAAGAUCUAGUCGUAAUCUAUCAUCUAUGGAAAGAAACUUAGAGGGUGGGCAAGAGUUUUAUGCAUGAUAACCAAAAAAUGGGAAAACUAUCAAUGUCGCUUACGUCACUUUGCAGAAUUACGGCAGUAUGGAAAUGUUGAGACAAAAUUUUGUGCCGACACCAAUUGUGACGAAACGUACUUAUUAGGGAAAACAAUACUGAAACAUAUUGAAAAACAGAAUACUGUGGCUGGCACCUUUCAGUGGCGGACUGUACAAUAAUAUAGAAAAAAAAUAUUGAAAAAAAUGUGAAUCGCGAGAAUUUGCGCCGAUACUUGAACUUUGCAAUGCUUGUAGUGUAAAUACACGAAAGAUGAGUAUGAGAAACAUAUACAAACAGAUACAUGAUAGACAAAGUGGAAGAGAUAAUUUUCAAGAUGUAACUUUCGACUUUGACAAAAAAAAGUCGACACUCAUGGUGACGAACUAUACAAAUUUGAUCAAAAUGUUUAAAAGAUACAUACACACAUAAUGAAUAAGUAAUAUAAUGAAAAUAGAGUCCACAUACAGAGAGAAAAUAACAAAGAAGCACGAGUUUUACAAACACGCCACAUUUUGGUCUCGUUAGCUGAACAGGACUGAACAUUUUCCUGCAACCAAAAUACGAAUAAAAUGGCAGAGAUAAAAGAAAUAUAGCAACAAGAAUGAUGACAUCUGCGACGAUUGGCGAACCAUCCUGGAAGCGGCACCAUCAAGGGCACCAUCCUCAUCAAUAAUUGGAAUUUCGAACAAUUUUAUUAUCAAAUAUGUGAUUGACAAUCAUCUCUGUAAUAAAAAUAAAAGGAGGAAUAUA